UAACACAUGCAAGUCGAACGAUCGAUGUAGGUGUGUCGACAGUCUUUCAUAGUUAGUGACGAUCGGAUGAGUAACGGGUAAGUAAUCUACCUUGGAGAUCAGAAUAACAUUCCGAAAGCAAGGAUCAUACUGAAUAUUCUAUAUUUUUAGUAUGAUUAAUAUAACACAGGUAUCCGCAAGGCUUCCUCUGUAAGAUUAGGUUGCGUCUUACUAGUUUGUUGGUAAGAUAAAGCCUAUCCGAGGGUAUGAUGGAUAACCGCCUUGAGAGGUGAUCGCCCACAAUGGAACUGAUAUAGGGCCCAGACUUCCUACGGGAGCCAGCAGUGGGGAAUAUUGUGCAAUGGGCUAAAGCUCGAAGUAUCAACAGCUGUGUGAACGAUGAUGGUCUUCGGAUAUCUUC
RNAcentral lists this ribosomal RNA (400 nucleotides) under uncultured bacterium. Its description in RNAcentral is "bacterial SSU rRNA". It matches the Rfam family "Bacterial small subunit ribosomal RNA", at positions 49 to 433 of the family's 1533-position model. The record is from RNAcentral.